CACGUAGGCGGGUUACCAAGUCCGGGGUGAAAUCUUUCGGCUUAACCGGAAAAGUGCCUUGGAUACUGGUAGUCUCGAGGGAGGUAGGGGUAUGUGGAACUUCCGGUGGAGCGGUGAAAUGCGUUGAUAUCGGAAGGAACGCCGGUGGCGAAAGCGACGUACUGGACCUCUUCUGACGCUGAGGCGCGAAAGCCAGGGGAGCGAACGGGAUUAGAUACCCCGGUAGUCCUGGCCCUAAACGAUGGGUACUAAGUAGUAGACUUUCAUGGGUUUACUGCCGAAGCAAAAGUGGUAAGUACCCCGCCUGGGGAGUAUGGUCGCAAGGCUGAA
This 330-nucleotide ribosomal RNA is filed under the name uncultured bacterium. RNAcentral describes it as "bacterial SSU rRNA". It matches the Rfam family "Bacterial small subunit ribosomal RNA", at positions 568 to 898 of the family's 1533-position model. The record is from RNAcentral.